Nelumbo nucifera (sacred lotus) is the source of this 1256-nucleotide non-coding RNA. The record is from RefSeq and is a predicted model, not a curated record. NCBI's taxonomy places the organism in Eukaryota, Viridiplantae, Streptophyta, Magnoliopsida, Proteales, Nelumbonaceae.
CCGAAUUUUGAGCCGGUCUAAAACCUAAAAUGCCAAAAUUUUGCCUCGUCUUUCCGCAUUCCCGCGUUUGAUCCUUUUUAUUUCCGCAACUUAUUACGUCCUCUGUGUUGUUUCCCUCGUCUUUCUAUUGCUACUGCUGAAACUCAUAUGUAUGUAGGGUUUUUGAUUCUCUCCUCUUUCUCUCUAAACUCUAGAGGAUUUUUUGUUGAUACUACGCCUUCCACUUGCCAUUACGAGUAAUAACAAGGAUGGAUUUGACAUGGCUCGGCGCUGCCCUUUCUCUUGCUGCUACUGCUGAACAAGCUUCAUCAUCUGAGGGGACAUCAGCCGAUGUUCUGGAGAAUUUAACGCCCAAGGUUAGGAAGUGCAUUGAGGUUCUCAGAAGGAUCUAGAUAGACUUGUCGGCUGGUCGUAGAAGCUGCUAUUCAAACUUUCAAAGUCUUCAGUCAAAGUUUAAAGGGUACUAGAAAGUUUCAAUCUGGAAUGGAAGUUGCUAUUUGUUUGUGAAAAUUCAUUGGCAGAAUUGGGGCCGAGUGGAUAAUUUCAGAUAUAAUUGCUGUUUUAUGUGUGGAUGCUUCUCUCCCUGUGUUGGAUCGAUAUGUGGAAAAGCGAGUAGACAGCAUGAUUGAUGCUGGCUUACUAAAUGAAGUUUAUGAUAUUUAUAGCCUGACUUCAGAUUACACUCGGGGGUUGCGGCAGGAUAUUGGCGUACGCGAAUUUGAAGAUUUUCUUAGAAUAUUUCAUUCCAAUACAAAUGCAUCUCAUUCUCGUAUCACAGAUUCACAUUAUGACUCAAGUGCUGGGUGUGGCACGAGUACAUCGACAAACAAGGGAAAUAUGAUUUCAAGAGAGAAUUUGAGGGCUAUUUUGGAUUUCUCUGAUGAUGACUUUUACAAAAUUAUCUUACAAGAAGCUAUUGACAAGCUAAAAGAAAAUACCAGAAGACUUGUUCGUUGUCAAGGUUUACAUCUGGACAACAUUCUUGUUUUUUCUUGUCAUAUUCAAUGCUUGCAUUACCAUCACUAAAUUUGGAAGGAUUGCAUGGGGCGUUUUGGCAUGUUAAUAUUAUAGUUGUUCUUCUAAUCCAAGAGGCCAUCAAGGAUUGCAUUAUAUUUUGCAUAGAUUUGCAUUGGAAGAUGUGCUACAUUAUUUGACAAAUUGAAUGUUUUCGAAGUCCUUGUAUUUUUUUUAUAUGUCAAUUGGAUAUUGUAUCUGAACAAAUUGUUCUGGAUAUUAUAGCAAUUAAUUUUGUAAAU